Molecule: ribosomal RNA, 508 nt
Filed under: Hyphydrus sp. BMNH 681963
Lineage: Eukaryota; Metazoa; Arthropoda; Insecta; Coleoptera; Dytiscidae
Also listed under: 1 other name
Description: partial 16S ribosomal RNA
Rfam family: Bacterial large subunit ribosomal RNA
Source: RNAcentral
GUCCUUUAGGAAAAUAAUUUAAGGUCUAAUCUGCCCACUGAUUAAUUGAAUGGCCGCAGUAAUUUGACUGUGCAAAGGUAGCAUAAUCAUUAGUUUUUUAAUUAAAAGCUUGUAUGAAUGAUUGGACGAGAUAAAAUCUGUCUCUUAGUUAAAAUUAGAAUUUAAUUUUUAAGUUAAAAAGCUUAAAUUUUUAUAAAAGACGAGAAGACCCUAUAGAUCUUUAUUUAUUUAAGUUAAAAAUUUUAUAAAGAUUAUUUUAUUAUUUUUAAUUUAAUAAAUUUUAUUGGGGUAAUAAAAAGAUUAAAUAAAUUCUUUUAAAAUUUUUACAUUGAUUAAUGAUUUUUUGAUCCAUUAUUAGUGAUUAUAAGAUUAAGUUACCUUAGGGAUAACAGCGUAAUUUUUUUAAAGAGUUCAUAUCGAUAAAAAGGAUUGCGACCUCGAUGUUGGAUUAAAAGUAAUUUCAGGUGCAGAAGUCUGAAGUUUUGGUCUGUUCGACCAUUAAAUUUUU